Molecule: ribosomal RNA, 180 nt
Filed under: uncultured Glomeromycotina
Lineage: Eukaryota; Fungi; Glomeromycota
Description: partial small subunit ribosomal RNA
Source: RNAcentral
GGCCUGGCUGGACGGUCUGCCUCACGGUACGUACUGUCUGGCUGGGUCUUACCUCUUGGUGAGCCGGCAUGCCCUUCGCUGGGUGUGUCGGGGAACCAGGACUUUUACCUUGAGAAAAUUAGAGUGCUCCAAGCAGGCCUGUGCUUGAAUAUGUUAGCAUGGAAUAAUAAAAUAGGACUU